UACAGAGGUCUCAAGCGUUGUCCGGAAUUAUUGGGCGUAAAGAGCUUGUAGGCGGUCUGUCGCGUCUGCUGUGAAAAUCCGGGGCUCAACCCCGGACUUGCAGUGGGUACGGGCAGACUAGAGUGUGGUAGGGGAGACUGGAAUUCCUGGUGUAGCGGUGAAAUGCGCAGAUAUCAGGAGGAACACCGAUGGCGAAGGCAGGUCUCUGGGCCACUACUGACGCUGAGAAGCGAAAGCAUGGGGAGCGAACAGG
This 253-nucleotide ribosomal RNA is filed under the name uncultured bacterium. RNAcentral describes it as "partial 16S ribosomal RNA". It matches the Rfam family "Bacterial small subunit ribosomal RNA", at positions 524 to 776 of the family's 1533-position model. The record is from RNAcentral.